GAACGUGCCCAGUCGUGGGGGAUAACUACUCGAAAGAGUAGCUAAUACCGCAUACGAUCUGAGGAUGAAAGCGGGGGACCUUCGGGCCUCGCGCGAUUGGAGCGGCCGAUGGCAGAUUAGGUAGUUGGUGGGAUAAAAGCUUACCAAGCCGACGAUCUGUAGCUGGUCUGAGAGGACGACCAGCCACACUGGGACUGAGACACGGCCCAGACUCCUACGGGAGGCAGCAGUGGGGAAUUUUGGACAAUGGGCGAAAGCCUGAUCCAGCAAUGCCGCGUGCAGGAUGAAGGCCUUCGGGUUGUAAACUGCUUUUGUACGGAACGAAA
Molecule: ribosomal RNA, 326 nt
Filed under: Delftia lacustris
Lineage: Bacteria; Pseudomonadati; Pseudomonadota; Betaproteobacteria; Burkholderiales; Comamonadaceae
Description: bacterial SSU rRNA
Rfam family: Bacterial small subunit ribosomal RNA
Source: RNAcentral